CCAGGGAAUUUAAUGCCCAAAAAACCUCAACGUCUUCUAUCCCUUCUUUUGGUGACCCAGCAUUUCCACCUCCACUUCAAGACCCUGCUGUCCCUGAUCUCCCUCCACUUCCUUUACUUCCAAAGCUGCCACCAUUACCAGAACUCCCUCCUCUCCCACCUCUUCCAGGACUACCGAACAUUCCAUUUCCGCCAGUGCCAUCUCCGCCGGUGCCUGGAAAGACCACCACAAACCCAAAAGCUUAUACCGAGUCUUUGAAGAGUGCACAAGCGUUAGAUCAGAAAGAAGUAAACCCUGACUUUUUCUUCCCCACACCGCCCCUUUUUCCUCCAAACCCUUUUCAGCCACCUCCAGUACUUCCUCCAAACCCACUUCAACCACCUCCAUUAUUCCCUCCAUUGCUUCCCCCUAACCCAUUCCAGCCUCCUCCAGCUCCAUUGAUUCCUUUAC
This 450-nucleotide long non-coding RNA is filed under the name Manihot esculenta (cassava). Its description in RNAcentral is "long non-coding RNA (MESC_LNC000801)". The record is from RNAcentral. Lineage: Eukaryota; Viridiplantae; Streptophyta; Magnoliopsida; Malpighiales; Euphorbiaceae.